This 254-nucleotide ribosomal RNA is filed under the name uncultured bacterium. RNAcentral's name for it is "partial 16S ribosomal RNA". It matches the Rfam family "Bacterial small subunit ribosomal RNA", at positions 524 to 776 of the family's 1533-position model. The record is from RNAcentral.
UACGGGGGGAGCAAGCGUUGUUCGGAUUUACUGGGCGUAAAGGGCGCGUAGGCGGUCGUGACAAGUCACUUGUGAAAUCUCCGGGCUUAACUCGGAACGGUCAAGUGAUACUGUCGGACUAGAGUACAGAAGGGGCAACUGGAAUUCUCGGUGUAGCGGUGAAAUGCGUAGAUAUCGAGAGGAGCACCUGCGGCGAAGGCGGGUUGCUGGGCUGAUACUGACGCUGAGGAGCGAAAGCGUGGGGAGCGAACAGG